CACGUAGGGUGCGAGCGUUGUCCGGAAUUAUUGGGCGUAAAGAGCUCGUAGGCGGUGUGUCGCGCGGCCGUGAAAACCUGCAGCUUAACUGUGGGCUUGCGGUCGAUACGGGCAUCACUGGAGUUCGGCAGGGGAGACUGGAAUUCCUGGUGUAGCGGUGAAAUGCGCAGAUAUCAGGAGGAACACCGGUGGCGAAGGGCGGGGUCUCGUGGGCCGAUGACUGACGCUGAGGAGCGAAAGCGUGGGGAGCGAACAGGG
This 258-nucleotide ribosomal RNA is filed under the name uncultured bacterium. Its description in RNAcentral is "partial 16S ribosomal RNA". It matches the Rfam family "Bacterial small subunit ribosomal RNA", at positions 524 to 777 of the family's 1533-position model. The record is from RNAcentral.